This 164-nucleotide ribosomal RNA is filed under the name uncultured bacterium. RNAcentral describes it as "partial 16S rRNA". It matches the Rfam family "Bacterial small subunit ribosomal RNA", at positions 355 to 510 of the family's 1533-position model. The record is from RNAcentral.
UAGGGAAUCUUCGGCAAUGGGGGCAACCCUGACCGAGCAACGCCGCGUGAGUGAAGAGGGUUUUCGGAUCGUAAAGCUCUGUUGUAAGAGAAGAACGUGUGUGAGAGUGGAAAGUUCACACAGUGACGGUAACUUACCAGAAAGGGACGGCUAACUACGUGCCA